Molecule: ribosomal RNA, 1730 nt
Filed under: Staphylococcus aureus
Lineage: Bacteria; Bacillati; Bacillota; Bacilli; Caryophanales; Staphylococcaceae
Description: partial 23S ribosomal RNA
Rfam family: Bacterial large subunit ribosomal RNA
Source: RNAcentral
GAUUAAGUUAUUAAGGGCGCACGGUGGAUGCCUUGGCACUAGAAGCCGAUGAAGGACGUUACUAACGACGAUAUGCUUUGGGGAGCUGUAAGUAAGCUUUGAUCCAGAGAUUUCCGAAUGGGGAAACCCAGCAUGAGUUAUGUCAUGUUAUCGAUAUGUGAAUACAUAGCAUAUCAGAAGGCACACCCGGAGAACUGAAACAUCUUAGUACCCGGAGGAAGAGAAAGAAAAUUCGAUUCCCUUAGUAGCGGCGAGCGAAACGGGAAGAGCCCAAACCAACAAGCUUGCUUGUUGGGGUUGUAGGACACUCUAUACGGAGUUACAAAGGACGACAUUAGACGAAUCAUCUGGAAAGAUGAAUCAAAGAAGGUAAUAAUCCUGUAGUCGAAAAUGUUGUCUCUCUUGAGUGGAUCCUGAGUACGACGGAGCACGUGAAAUUCCGUCGGAAUCUGGGAGGACCAUCUCCUAAGGCUAAAUACUCUCUAGUGACCGAUAGUGAACCAGUACCGUGAGGGAAAGGUGAAAAGCACCCCGGAAGGGGAGUGAAAUAGAACCUGAAACCGUGUGCUUACAAGUAGUCAGAGCCCGUUAAUGGGUGAUGGCGUGCCUUUUGUAGAAUGAACCGGCGAGUUACGAUUUGAUGCAAGGUUAAGCAGUAAAUGUGGAGCCGUAGCGAAAGCGAGUCUGAAUAGGGCGUUUAGUAUUUGGUCGUAGACCCGAAACCAGGUGAUCUACCCUUGGUCAGGUUGAAGUUCAGGUAACACUGAAUGGAGGACCGAACCGACUUACGUUGAAAAGUGAGCGGAUGAACUGAGGGUAGCGGAGAAAUUCCAAUCGAACCUGGAGAUAGCUGGUUCUCUCCGAAAUAGCUUUAGGGCUAGCCUCAAGUGAUGAUUAUUGGAGGUAGAGCACUGUUUGGACGAGGGGCCCCUCUCGGGUUACCGAAUUCAGACAAACUCCGAAUGCCAAUUAAUUUAACUUGGGAGUCAGAACAUGGGUGAUAAGGUCCGUGUUCGAAAGGGAAACAGCCCAGACCACCAGCUAAGGUCCCAAAAUAUAUGUUAAGUGGAAAAGGAUGUGGCGUUGCCCAGACAACUAGGAUGUUGGCUUAGAAGCAGCCAUCAUUUAAAGAGUGCGUAAUAGCUCACUAGUCGAGUGACACUGCGCCGAAAAUGUACCGGGGCUAAACAUAUUACCGAAGCUGUGGAUUGUCCUUUGGACAAUGGUAGGAGAGCGUUCUAAGGGCGUUGAAGCAUGAUCGUAAGGACAUGUGGAGCGCUUAGAAGUGAGAAUGCCGGUGUGAGUAGCGAAAGACGGGUGAGAAUCCCGUCCACCGAUUGACUAAGGUUUCCAGAGGAAGGCUCGUCCGCUCUGGGUUAGUCGGGUCCUAAGCUGAGGCCGACAGGCGUAGGCGAUGGAUAACAGGUUGAUAUUCCUGUACCACCUAUAAUCGUUUUAAUCGAUGGGGGGACGCAGUAGGAUAGGCGAAGCGUGCGAUUGGAUUGCACGUCUAAGCAGUAAGGCUGAGUAUUAGGCAAAUCCGGUACUCGUUAAGGCUGAGCUGUGAUGGGGAGAAGACAUUGUGUCUUCGAGUCGUUGAUUUCACACUGCCGAGAAAAGCCUCUAGAUAGAAAAUAGGUGCCCGUACCGCAAACCGACACAGGUAGUCAAGAUGAGAAUUCUAAGGUGAGCGAGCGAACUCUCGUUAAGGAACUCGGCAAAAUGACCCC